CCUACGGGCGGCUGCAGUGAGGAAUAUUGGUCAAUGGGCGAGAUCCUGAACCAGCCAAGUCGCGUGAGGGAGUACUGCCCUAUGGGUUGUAAACCUCUUUUGUCGGGGAGCAAAAGCCGGACGUGUCCGGCUGUGAGAGUACCCGAAGAAAAAGCAUCGGCUAACUCCGUGCCAGCAGCCGCGGUAAUACGGAGGAUGCGAGCGUUAUCCGGAUUUAUUGGGGUUAAAGGGUGCGCAGGCGGAUUUUUAAGUCAGCGGUCAAAUCGUGGGGCUCAACCCCAUCCAGCCGUUGAAACUGGGGAUCUAGAGUGUGCGAGAGGUAUGCGGAAUGCGUGGUGUAGCGGUGAAAUGCAUAGAUAUCACGCAGAACCCCGAUUGCGAAGGCAGCAUACCGGUGCACAACUGACGCUCAGGCACGAAAGCGUGGGUAUCGAACAGGAUUAGAUACCCGGGUAGUC
RNAcentral lists this ribosomal RNA (458 nucleotides) under uncultured bacterium. Its description in RNAcentral is "partial 16S ribosomal RNA". It matches the Rfam family "Bacterial small subunit ribosomal RNA", at positions 338 to 795 of the family's 1533-position model. The record is from RNAcentral.